GGUCAAAUACUUUAUUUAGAAGAUUUAGUUUGCAACUAAAAUGUGGGUUUACCCUUUAACCA
This 62-nucleotide transfer RNA is filed under the name Pseudosuccinea columella. RNAcentral's name for it is "tRNA-Ala". Lineage: Eukaryota; Metazoa; Mollusca; Gastropoda; Lymnaeidae. The record is from RNAcentral.